ACACGUAGGGGGCGAGCGUUGUCCGGAAUUACUGGGCGUAAAGGGCGCGUAGGCGGCUUAUUAAGUCUGAUGUGAAACCCCUGGGCUUAACCCUGGGCUUGCAUUAGAAACUGUUGAGCUUGAGGACAGGAGAGGAAAGCGGAAUUCCCAGUGUAGCGGUGAAAUGCGUAGAUAUUGGGAAGAACACCAGUGGCGAAGGCGGCUUUCUGGACUGCACCUGACGCUGAGGCGCGAAAGCCAGGGGAGCGAACGGGAUUAGAUACCCCGGUAGUCCUGGCCGUAAACGAUGGAUACUAGGUGUGGGAGGUAUCGACCCCUUCCGUGCCGCAGUUAACACAUUAAGUAUCCCGCCUGGGGAGUACGGCCGCAAGGCUGAA
Molecule: ribosomal RNA, 377 nt
Filed under: uncultured bacterium
Lineage: Bacteria
Description: bacterial SSU rRNA
Rfam family: Bacterial small subunit ribosomal RNA
Source: RNAcentral